UAGUUUUCUUGAAGGGGACUGCAUCCUAGU
This 30-nucleotide non-coding RNA is filed under the name Macaca fascicularis (crab-eating macaque). Lineage: Eukaryota; Metazoa; Chordata; Mammalia; Primates; Cercopithecidae. The record is from RNAcentral. RNAcentral also lists the same sequence under 1 other name.